Molecule: long non-coding RNA, 293 nt
Filed under: Medicago truncatula (barrel medic)
Lineage: Eukaryota; Viridiplantae; Streptophyta; Magnoliopsida; Fabales; Fabaceae
Description: long non-coding RNA (MTRU_LNC002663)
Source: RNAcentral
UGCAAAUACCUUAGCCAAUUCCUUUUUCUAUUCAAAAUGACAGGAGAACAUAGUGAAACAUCAGUUUCCGAUGAAUCCAACAAUAACCUCAACCUGAAGGCCCCACUUCUACCACUCCAUAGAACACAAAGCAAUCCUUUCAACCUCAAAUCCUUUUUCACCCUCAACAAUUUCUAUGUUCUUCUUGGACCUUUAUUGUCCCUUUUCAUAUGUCUCUUUGUUAAACUUGAUACUCCAAACAACAAUAGCCGUAACAUGCUUGCUGUUAUUGCUUGGGUUUUCAGUUGGUGGGU